UUAAAAAGCUCGUAGUUGAAUUUCGGGAUCAAGACGUCGGUCGUGCUUUCGGGUACGUACUGGCGUCAUUGGUUUCUUCUUUCUGAUGAACCAUGAUGUCAUUAAUUUGGUGUUAUGGGGAGUUAGGACUGUUACUUUGAAAAAAUUAGAGUGUUUAAAGCAGGCAUUAGCUUGAAUACAUUAGCAUGGAAUAAUGAAAUAGGACGUUCGAUCCUAUUUUGUUGGUUUCUAGGAUCAACGUAAUGAUUAAUAGGGAUAGUUGGGGG
RNAcentral lists this ribosomal RNA (266 nucleotides) under uncultured Glomeromycotina. RNAcentral's name for it is "partial 18S ribosomal RNA". It matches the Rfam family "Eukaryotic small subunit ribosomal RNA", at positions 619 to 888 of the family's 1831-position model. Lineage: Eukaryota; Fungi; Glomeromycota. The record is from RNAcentral.